RNAcentral lists this transfer RNA (73 nucleotides) under Aestuariibacter sp. RNAcentral's name for it is "tRNA-Thr". It matches the Rfam family "tRNA". From Rfam's summary of the family: Transfer RNA (tRNA) molecules are approximately 80 nucleotides in length. Their secondary structure includes four short double-helical elements and three loops (D, anti-codon, and T loops). The record is from RNAcentral. Lineage: Bacteria; Pseudomonadati; Pseudomonadota; Gammaproteobacteria; Alteromonadales; Alteromonadaceae.
GCCCGUAUAGCUCAGCUGGCAGAGCACCUGCUUUGUAACCAGGGGGCCGGGGGUUCGAUCCCUCCUGCGGGCC